This 73-nucleotide transfer RNA is filed under the name Trichonephila inaurata madagascariensis. It matches the Rfam family "tRNA". Rfam says of the family: Transfer RNA (tRNA) molecules are approximately 80 nucleotides in length. Their secondary structure includes four short double-helical elements and three loops (D, anti-codon, and T loops). The record is from Rfam by way of RNAcentral. Lineage: Eukaryota; Metazoa; Arthropoda; Arachnida; Araneae; Nephilidae.
GUCCCUGUAGCGCAAUGGGUAGCACGUUGGACUUCUAAUGCGAUGGUUGUGGGUUCGAAUCCCACCUAGGACG